AUUGAGAGGGCAGAGAGAGAGAGAGAGGAAGAAAGAGAGAGAGAGGCUGAGUAUCAAGCCCAGGCCUUGCAUAUGAUAGCACAGUACUCUACCACAAAGCUACAUCCAUGGCCCUUGUUUGUUUUGCUUUGUUUUUUGUUUAUUUGUUUGUUUUAAUAUAGCUUUCAUAUAAUAAUAUAUCAAGGACUAAGUAUAGAUCUUUCAUAUUAAAUAAAAGUUCAUGAAUUUCUAGGCACAAGGAAUAUGAGGUAAAUAUCCAAACACGGGCAUGUUCUUGGUUCAACUCUAGAGUUGCAUUGAGUGUCCUGGCGGCAGCUUUCUCUCAGAGAACAACAUGGAAGCUGCUUCCAUUAGAAGUCAUUGAAAACGGGUGAGUCCUACUCAGUGUGAAAGAUUCUGUGACAUGAGAACAGGAAAGAAGAACUCUGGAGCCCUCUCAGAAGCUACCACCACACCAUGGACUUUAUUCAGAAUGGGCUGAGUGGAGCACCAUCAGUGGACUCUGAGCAGGAGCGUAAACAGAAGAUGAUAACACAUGAGUCACAGCGAGGGUGACCUUCCUGGGGUGACGUCAGCUAGCUGGCCCUUCUUCUCACCGUGCCUCCGCUCUGGCGUGCUCCUGGAAAUAUUCAGUCUUCCCAGUACCUAGUUAAUGAUUAAAGCACAUUCCACAAGAUCCAAAGGGCACAGAAAGAUGUGCCCAGUCGCUGGAUCACCAGGCACUUGCUAUUUUAUGGACAGUCAUAAAUGAUAAGAGGGCACAGGGUUCUGGACUCCAAAAGGCAACUCUGAAGACACACAGUCAACCCAUAUGGACAUUCCCUCCUCAAAUCCAAGCUUCUUUUGCAUGUGAGAGCCCCUGUGAAACUUCUAAACACUGCUCACACAUGCAGGACCAAUGAUGCUCUCCUCCAU
This is a long non-coding RNA of Peromyscus leucopus (white-footed mouse), 915 nucleotides long. RefSeq lists it as uncharacterized. The transcript is spliced from 2 exons. The record is from RefSeq and is a predicted model, not a curated record. NCBI's taxonomy places the organism in Eukaryota, Metazoa, Chordata, Mammalia, Rodentia, Cricetidae.